RNAcentral lists this long non-coding RNA (2342 nucleotides) under Scleropages formosus (Asian bonytongue). RNAcentral describes it as "lncRNA (ENSSFOG00015029607.1)". Lineage: Eukaryota; Metazoa; Chordata; Actinopteri; Osteoglossiformes; Osteoglossidae. The record is from RNAcentral.
AUGCAGGAGGAGAAGGAGGCCUAUGGUGAGCUGAAGAGGACCUUACAGACACGUAUCACGGAGCAGGAGGAUAAAUUAUCUACGCGCCUGAAACGUUUGAAGAGUCUGGAGCGAAAACUGCAGGAUAAACAGCACGAAGUCCGUGAAAUGGAGACACGCAUUGAGAGGAUGCGGGAGGAACGGAUCGCCUUGACAGCAAGGAAAAACUUAAUUGAGCACAAAACCAUGUGUAAGCUGUCAAAGGUGCACAAGCCACGUCUUGAAGCAGAGAGCUUGAGGAGUCACAAAGUGGAGAUCUGCACCUUAGGAGAAAAGAUCUGCCAUCUGGACGACGUGAUCCUCAGUCAGAGCAACAAAAUCCGCUGUUACCUGCAGCAGAUCAAGGAGCUGAAUGUAGAUCUCUCGGCCCAGGAGAGCGCAGUGGAGUCUCUCACAGAGAAGCUGCACGCUGCUCAGGCCCAGAAUGAAGAGCUGAAGUACCUGCUGGAAUUCUGGAGCAGUCAGACUCCCGAGGAGCCAGCUGGCACCGCCGCGAAGCGGGACUACGGAUGUCGGCAAGAAGUGCACUUUUAGCUCCCGGCGUUUUAUUAUAUUCCUCGGGGGUUGCGGUUUAAGCUCUUCGAGAUUGAAGGUAUACUUAAAAAGCACUCGAUUUUCACGAGAACCGGGUCGCGCGGCGGCAGUCGGCCCAGGGAAGACCGUAACUGUGGACUCGGUAAUAGAAAUGCAGUUAGAACAGCCUCCAACAAAUGGACUCCAGAAAGACGUGCUACUGAACGGAAGACGUCCGGCACACAGUCGUGACAAAACUCCUUAGAUAUACUGUACCUCGCACAGUGCGUUCAACAGAGCGUGGGUGGCCAACGGCAGCAAAGACCACAUCGACCCUAACGACUGCAGUAUUUAAUUAAAAUACCCAACAAGCAAUGUGUGUUAACCCCUAGAAGAGGAACAUCCUGGAGCAUGGUAAUAUACAUCACAAAGCAGACAGAGUGCAAACUGCGGUGCAGUAUCUAAAGACACCCAAACACACAAUGCCAUGUUUUGUCCGCCGCUAUAACGUUUUACAUUUUCUUUGCUCUAGCGAAGUCUCGCCAGUUACCACGGCAUGUUAAAAAAUGCCAUUGUUCUGCUUAAGACAGACAGUGAUUCUCAGAAUGGCUGUUUCGCAAAUAAUCAUAUAAUAUCCAGUGAGCUGUUGAGCAAUUUAUAUACUCUUGAUGUAAAAAUAGUUAAAAGAGGCUUCGAACCUAUGACCGAACAACCCAAGGGUUGUGCGAUAGCAGCGCUACCUGCUGCAGCGCUAUGCUGCCUCCAAAAAUAAUCAUGUUCAUCUUGUGAUGUUUCUGGCACUUUCUUUCAUUGCAGUAACAGUACCGUGCUAAAAGCAUGUAUGUUCAGCACACACUUUUCCCUGAGCCAACUUAGAAUUAUUUAUCCAUUUUUACAGCGGGGUAGUUUUACUGGAGUAAUUUAGGGUAAGCAGCCUUACUCAGGGGUACAACUGGGAGAUGAGAUUUGAACAUGUGACCUUCGGGUCCAAAAGCAACAGCUGUAACCCCUGCACUACGAGCUCCCUUUGUUCACAUACAGUCCACUCACUAUAUACUCAUUAAAUUAAGGAUACUAUUUCAGACUGUUUUAGGAGUAAGAAGUGAACGCAGUCCACUUUUCCAAUUAACUAAAUUCACACCCAAAACCACAAGCUGUGAGGCACCAAUGCUGCACCACAGUGCCAUCCCCUAGUAUACAGUGUUAAAUGUAAUUAUUAUAGUCAUUCAUACAUUUGAGAAAUAACCAGAAAAAUAUAAGAAUGCAUUUAAGCACAAGAUUAUCUAAACACACCAUUUAAAUUGACAGAGCCUUCAUUUUUCAACCAUUUGAAACUCAUUGUUUAGGUAACCAGACAGCUGGUAGCUUAGUAGUUAGAGCUGCUGCCUUUGGACUCAAAGGUUACUGGGUAAAAUUUCAUCUCUGGUUGUAAUACCCUUGAGCAAGGUGCUUACCUUAAAUUACUCAGAUGUAUAAAGGGGUAAAUAAUCCUGAAUUGCUUUGGUGAGAAGCAUCAUAUAUGAUAAAUGUGAUGAUCAAUGUAGAUAACUUGAUGCAAGGCAUAAGCAACUUCACUUUUUUGUUUCCCUGUAUCAUGUACUUUAUUUUUAAAUCAUCUCCAGUAAAAUACAGUUACUAUAUUGUCUCUGUCUAUUAGCAAUUAGUAAUUCUCUUAAUGGGAGAUGUUGUGUCCUGUUAUAUAUACAGUCGUAUCCGCUGUUGACACUGAUUUAUUGGAUGUGUGUGGUGUGGAGGCCAAUAAAAACUUGAGUCCACAGUGAGAAUUUACA